AUUUACAGCUGGAAGGGCAGACGGAGGCAUCUUGGUGUAUACACAGCCCUGCUGGGCCACAUCCCGGGUCUCCUCCCUCUGCGAUGCCAUAGCAGGGGCGCCUUCCGAAAGCCCUCUGGAUUGAGGCAGCAGGAUCUAUGGUGGAACCUGCCCCGGCGUCGCCAACGCCCCUAGGACCCCAGCACACUGACUGGGGAGCAUCCCUGUGUCGUUUCUGCCCGGAGAGGAGCAGAGGCCAGGCUGCUGCUCUGGGAGAUGAGACUUUCUGGUGCACCUGCACUUCCACAUGAGACUUCCGGGUGCACCUGCACUCCCAGAUGCAGACUUCCUGGUGCACCUGCACUUCCUGGUGCAGACUUCUUGGUUCAUCUGCAACUUCCUGGUGAGAAUCCCUUGGGCAUCUGCACUUCCUGAUGCACCUGCACUUCUAGUUAUUUUAGAGAAAACGUUCCCUGAACAUGCCACAUGCAGAGGAUGCUGGGUAUCAGGCUACCUUUGCUGGACAGCUCCAGGUAACUGCAUUUGCUCUGCCAAUGUUGGCUUUUUAAAAAUAGAAAACACAUAUAGACAAAUCCAUCACACACACAUGCACAGACACACACACACACACACACAGACAAAUCCAUCACACACACAUGCACAGACACACACACACAGAGUCAACGACAUAGGCUCACAAGUAGAGCUCUUCGUCUGUUUAUACUUAAUGCAAUUACUGAUACAUCUAAGUUUGGAGCUGCUGUUUUCUUUUACGUAUACUGUUUGUUUGCAGAUUCUGUGUAUAAAUUCUUUCCUUUCUUGCCGCCUUUUAGAUGAUUUCCCCCAGCUUACCUUGAGGACUUUCGAGCAAACAGACACGUUGAAAGAAUAGACAAGGACCACUUGCAUGCCCCUCAGUUAGAUUCACCAACUGUCAAUAUUUUGCACUGUAUGUAUACACGUACAUGUCUGUGUAUACACAUAUACACAUACAGUCACACAUCGCCCGAUGGCAGGGAUGGUUCUGAGGAAGGCGCUGUUAGGCGAUUUCGUCGCUGUGCGAGCAUCAUAGUGUGAACUUACUCAAACCUAGAUGGCACAGACUCAUCGCCUCCCACACGCCUGGGCUGUAUGGCAGGACCUCCUGCUACCGGGCUACAAACCCAGGCAGGGUGGUACUGUACUGAAUGGUGCAGGUGAUUGUAACACAAUGGUAAGUAUUUGUGCAUGUAAACAUACCUAAACAUAGAAACAGUGUAGUAAAAAUAUGGUAUAAAAGAUCAAAUACAGUACACCUGUACAAGGUCUGCUCUGUUCUAAUCUUAUGGGGCCACCACUGUAUAUGCCGUCUAUUCUUGACAGAAGUGCUUUAUGUGGCACAUGACUGUACAUGGAAAUACACACACACUCACACACAUCCACACACAAGCAUAUGCAUACACACAUAUAUACAUGUAUAUACACGUGCAUAUAACAUAUGUAGAUAUCUGCCAAUUGCUAUCCAACGUGAAUUCCAUAAAUUUACACUCCUACCAGCAGCAUUUGGGUAUCUGAGGUGUCACACAUCCUUGCCAGCACUGGAUAUUAUCCCGGCUUGGAGAUUUUGCCAGCCUGGUGGGUGUGAAGUGGAUCUUGUUGUGGUUUUAAUUUCCAUUUCUCUAAUUAUGCAGAGGCUGAGUGCCAGGCUUCCUCUCCUGGGAAGAGCCUGCCGGCUUGCGGGCUGUCAGCGCUCACUGUGGGUGCGGGUGGCGUGCCUGCCUGCACGGCCCUUGCCUCUCUUAGUCUACAGGGUCUCCACUCCUGAGUUCCCGGAAACAAGAUACAGAUUUCAGAAUGGCACCUGAACAUUGUUUACUGAUUUCCGGCUGGAAGUGAGGGUCCGAGGGAUUCUUCUAUGGAAUUGUAUGACUCAGCAUCUUUCUGAUUGCAAGCAGCAGCAUCGCAGCCUAAAUGAAUCUAUUGGCUUCUUCAACAGACCAAUCCGGUGGACGUGGUGGCUUCGGGUGAGGGAUGCUCCAGGGGCUCUCCAUGAUGUCCCCAAGGUCCUUUAACCUCUGGGCACUGCUUCUGCAGGAUUGGCUUUGCUUAGGGUUGGUUCCCCUUCAUUCUUGAGCUGGUUGUGGGCAACUCCUGCCCCCUGUGGGGGGACUGGACUGCCUUAGAUCACAUGUGUGUCCCUGACUCUCUGUGGUCAGGGGAUAGAAUAUUCAGAUUGGAGGGGAGCCAGCUUCUCCUAAACCACGUGGAUCUCCAAACGGAAGUCAGAGCAGAUGGGAAGGGGGAGCAGACGUUGAGCUCAAUCAAUAAACACCCACCUUGGGAGCUGCAGCCUGGAGGGCUUGGUGACUGCCACGCUGGCUGCUCAGAGCUCCUCGCUUACUUUUGGGCAUAUGCCUGUGAACCAGAUGGUGGCACCUCCUGAAAAUCGGGUCUGUGGAUAAUGGGAGGAUUUUUUAAAUUAUGAAAAUGUUCAUUAUGGAAGAAUAAAUGAAGAAUAGCAUAUG
Molecule: long non-coding RNA, 2483 nt
Filed under: Homo sapiens (human)
Lineage: Eukaryota; Metazoa; Chordata; Mammalia; Primates; Hominidae
Description: long independently transcribed non-coding RNA 955 (LINC00955)
Source: RNAcentral